RNAcentral lists this ribosomal RNA (253 nucleotides) under uncultured bacterium. RNAcentral describes it as "partial 16S ribosomal RNA". It matches the Rfam family "Bacterial small subunit ribosomal RNA", at positions 524 to 776 of the family's 1533-position model. The record is from RNAcentral.
UACGAAGGGGGCUAGCGUUGCUCGGAAUCACUGGGCGUAAAGCGCACGUAGGCGGAUUGUUAAGUCAGGGGUGAAAUCCUGGAGCUCAACUCCAGAACUGCCUUUGAUACUGGCGAUCUUGAGUUCGGGAGAGGUGAGUGGAACUGCGAGUGUAGAGGUGAAAUUCGUAGAUAUUCGCAAGAACACCCGUGGCGAAGGCGGCUCACUGGGCUGACCUUGACGCUGAGGCGCGAAGGCGUGGGGAGCGAACGGG